UACGGAGGAUGCGAGCGUUAUCCGGAUUUAUUGGGUUUAAAGGGUGCGUAGGCGGGAUGCCAAGUCAGCGGUAAAAAUGCGGUGCUCAACGCCGUCGAGCCGUUGAAACUGGCGUUCUUGAGUGGGCGAGAAGUAUGCGGAAUGCGUGGUGUAGCGGUGAAAUGCAUAGAUAUCACGCAGAACUCCGAUUGCGAAGGCAGCAUACCGGCGCCCUACUGACGCUGAGGCUCGAAAGUGUGGGGAGCAAACAGG
This 252-nucleotide ribosomal RNA is filed under the name uncultured bacterium. RNAcentral describes it as "partial 16S ribosomal RNA". It matches the Rfam family "Bacterial small subunit ribosomal RNA", at positions 524 to 776 of the family's 1533-position model. The record is from RNAcentral.